UACAGAGGGUGCAAGCGUUAAUCGGAAUUACUGGGCGUAAAGGGCGCGUAGGUGGUUUGUUAAGUUGGAUGUGAAAGCUCCGGGCUUAACCUGGGAACUGCAUCCGAAACUGUCAAGCUAGAGUACGGUAGAGGGUGGUGGAAUUGCCUGUGUAGCGGUGAAAUGCGUAGAUAUAGGGAGGAACACCAGUGGCGAAGGCGACCACCUGGACUGAUACUGACACUGAGGUGCGAAAGCGUGGGUAGCAAACAGG
RNAcentral lists this unclassified non-coding RNA (253 nucleotides) under uncultured Pseudomonadaceae bacterium. RNAcentral describes it as "contains 16S-23S intergenic spacer region". It matches the Rfam family "Bacterial small subunit ribosomal RNA", at positions 524 to 776 of the family's 1533-position model. The record is from RNAcentral. Lineage: Bacteria; Pseudomonadati; Pseudomonadota; Gammaproteobacteria; Pseudomonadales; Pseudomonadaceae.